RNAcentral lists this ribosomal RNA (569 nucleotides) under Acanthostigmina minuta. RNAcentral's name for it is "eukaryotic LSU rRNA". It matches the Rfam family "Eukaryotic large subunit ribosomal RNA", at positions 37 to 609 of the family's 3401-position model. Lineage: Eukaryota; Fungi; Ascomycota; Dothideomycetes; Tubeufiales; Tubeufiaceae. The record is from RNAcentral.
AGCAUAUCAAUAAGCGGAGGAAAAGAAACCAACAGGGAUUGCCUCAGUAACGGCGAGUGAAGCGGCAAUAGCUCAAAUUUGAAAUCUGGCUCUUUUAGGGUCCGAGUUGUAAUUUGUAGAGGAUGUUUCGGCUUACGCCCCGGUCUAAGUUCCUUGGAACAGGACGUCACAGAGGGUGAGAAUCCCGUUUGUGGCCGGCGGCUUCUGCCAUGUGAAGCUCCUUCGACGAGUCGAGUUGUUUGGGAAUGCAGCUCUAAAUGGGAGGUAUAUUUCUUCUAAAGCUAAAUACCGGCCAGAGACCGAUAGCGCACAAGUAGAGUGAUCGAAAGAUGAAAAGCACUUUGGAAAGAGAGUUAAAAAGUACGUGAAAUUGUUGAAAGGGAAGCGCUUGCGACCAGACUUGCCCGCGGAUGCUCAACCGGUCCUUCGGCCGGUGCACUCUUCCGCGGUCAGGCCAGCAUCAGUUUAGGCGGUUGGAUAAAGGCCUUGGGAAUGUAUCUCCUCUCGGGGAGUGUUAUAGCCCUUGGUGCAAUACAACCUGCCUGGACUGAGGCCCGCGCUUCGGCUAG